CCUUCAGUGUUCUAUGGGCAGAGGACCGCCAGGGAGGAGAAGAGAGUCAGAGGAGCUGGAGAGCGAGAGAAAGAGGACCCAGUGAAGGGAAAGGGAGAACGAGAGUGGCAAAGGAUAUGAAGAAUGUAGAGGGCAUUUGGUAAAAAGCAGUAUUUCAGUGUGGAGUCAAUUGAGGGGACUAUUUUCAUGAAGCCAUUAGAAGACUGUUGCUGACUAAGAGGAGUCUGGCAGUAACCCAGAACUAUCAGAGGCAGAGGAUCGCUCUUUCAGCUGCUGCUGACAAUAACUGCAUUCAGGCAACAACCCAUACCAUACUGGUGGUAGGUAGCCCAUCGGCUAUGGACUUGGACCUGUGGCAGGAGUUGGACCUAUGGCGGAAAGAUGACAGGUUCGAAUCCUGGGCCGGGCGCUGUGGGAAAAAACAGGUGGAAUUGAUCUGACAACUGGAGUGCUUCUGGGUUCACAUCCUCAAAACAUUCCCCUACUGUUGGGCCCUUGAGCAAGGCCCUUAACCCCACAACAUGCUCUCCAUCCAGGUGCGCUGCACUGCAGCAUGAACUUGUAUCUGUGAGGUCUGCUGUUUGGGGGGGGGUUGAAAAUGGAGCAGAAGACACCUUUUUGUUGUUCAUAACUAAUUGACAGAGUUGUAUUGUGUUGUGUUAUAAAUGUCAGUCAGAGUUGACAUGGGCCAUCAUUUAAACAAAGAGAUGCCUCCCUGGCCUCCAGUGCACAUUUCCAAACAC
This is a long non-coding RNA of Coregonus clupeaformis (lake whitefish), 743 nucleotides long. RefSeq lists it as uncharacterized. NCBI's taxonomy places the organism in Eukaryota, Metazoa, Chordata, Actinopteri, Salmoniformes, Salmonidae. The record is from RefSeq and is a predicted model, not a curated record. The transcript is spliced from 4 exons.